AUACGGAGGGUGCAAGCGUUAUGCGGAAUCAUUGGGUUUAAAGGGUCCGUAGGCGGGCUAUUAAGUCAGAGGUGAAAUCCCACAGCUCAACUGUGGAACUGCCUUUGAUACUGAUAGUCUUGAGUUACAGUGAAGUAGAUAGAAUAUGUAGUGUAGCGGUGAAAUGCAUAGAUAUUACAUAGAAUACCGAUUGCGAAGGCAGUCUACUAACUGUAUACUGACGCUGAUGGACGAAAGCGUGGGGAGCGAACAGGAUUAGAAACCCUAGUAGUCC
Molecule: ribosomal RNA, 274 nt
Filed under: uncultured bacterium
Lineage: Bacteria
Description: partial 16S ribosomal RNA
Rfam family: Bacterial small subunit ribosomal RNA
Source: RNAcentral